Pelobates cultripes (western spadefoot toad) is the source of this 257-nucleotide non-coding RNA. NCBI's taxonomy places the organism in Eukaryota, Metazoa, Chordata, Amphibia, Anura, Pelobatidae. The record is from the annotation of a GenBank genome assembly.
UGCCACACAGAUUUUGUAAUUUACCUGCUGCAAUGUCCGUGUGGCAAACAAUAUGUUGGAAAAACUAAAAGAUAUUUAAAAGUGCGAUUAAUGGAACAUAUCAAUAAUAUUAAAAAGGGCAUCACUACCCACUCUUUUCUGGUCCACUGUAACUACUGCCCCCCACUUUAAUUGGAGGAAUUUUAGGGGUAUAGGUAUCGAGCAAGUGUCGUCCCAUUAGAAGGGAGGUGACAGAGAAUUAAAAUUUAGAACCUAAG